UACGUAGGGUGCGAGCGUUGUCCGGAAUUAUUGGGCGUAAAGAGCUUGUAGGCGGUUUGUCGCGUCUGCUGUGAAAUUCCAGGGCUUAACCCUGGGCUUGCAGUGGGUACGGGCAGACUAGAGUGUGGUAGGGGAGACUGGAAUUCCUGGUGUAGCGGUGAAAUGCGCAGAUAUCAGGAGGAACACCGAUGGCGAAGGCAGGUCGCUGGGCCACUACUGACGCUGAGAAGCGAAAGCAUGGGGAGCGAACAGG
RNAcentral lists this ribosomal RNA (253 nucleotides) under uncultured bacterium. RNAcentral describes it as "partial 16S ribosomal RNA". It matches the Rfam family "Bacterial small subunit ribosomal RNA", at positions 524 to 776 of the family's 1533-position model. The record is from RNAcentral.